This 787-nucleotide ribosomal RNA is filed under the name Bacillus aerius. Its description in RNAcentral is "bacterial SSU rRNA". It matches the Rfam family "Bacterial small subunit ribosomal RNA", at positions 51 to 821 of the family's 1533-position model. The record is from RNAcentral. Lineage: Bacteria; Bacillati; Bacillota; Bacilli; Caryophanales; Bacillaceae.
CUAUAAUGCAGUCGAGCGGACAGAAGGGAGCUUGCUCCCGGAUGUUAGCGGCGGACGGGUGAGUAACACGUGGGUAACCUGCCUGUAAGACUGGGAUAACUCCGGGAAACCGGAGCUAAUACCGGAUAGUUCCUUGAACCGCAUGGUUCAAGGAUGAAAGACGGUUUCGGCUGUCACUUACAGAUGGACCCGCGGCGCAUUAGCUAGUUGGUGAGGUAACGGCUCACCAAGGCGACGAUGCGUAGCCGACCUGAGAGGGUGAUCGGCCACACUGGGACUGAGACACGGCCCAGACUCCUACGGGAGGCAGCAGUAGGGAAUCUUCCGCAAUGGACGAAAGUCUGACGGAGCAACGCCGCGUGAGUGAUGAAGGUUUUCGGAUCGUAAAGCUCUGUUGUUAGGGAAGAACAAGUGCAAGAGUAACUGCUUGCACCUUGACGGUACCUAACCAGAAAGCCACGGCUAACUACGUGCCAGCAGCCGCGGUAAUACGUAGGUGGCAAGCGUUGUCCGGAAUUAUUGGGCGUAAAGGGCUCGCAGGCGGUUUCUUAAGUCUGAUGUGAAAGCCCCCGGCUCAACCGGGGAGGGUCAUUGGAAACUGGGAAACUUGAGUGCAGAAGAGGAGAGUGGAAUUCCACGUGUAGCGGUGAAAUGCGUAGAGAUGUGGAGGAACACCAGUGGCGAAGGCGACUCUCUGGUCUGUAACUGACGCUGAGGAGCGAAAGCGUGGGGAGCGAACAGGAUUAGAUACCCUGGUAGUCCACGCCGUAAACGAUGAGUGCUAAGU